RNAcentral lists this ribosomal RNA (378 nucleotides) under uncultured bacterium. Its description in RNAcentral is "bacterial SSU rRNA". It matches the Rfam family "Bacterial small subunit ribosomal RNA", at positions 9 to 389 of the family's 1533-position model. The record is from RNAcentral.
GAGUUUGAUCCUGGCUCAGGAUGAACGCUGGCGGCGUGCCUAAUACAUGCAAGUCGAACGGAGAUUGUAGCAAUACGGUCUUAGUGGCGAACGGGUGAGUAACGCGUUGGUAACCUGCCCCGAAGCGUGGGAUAACGGUCCGAAAGGACCACUAAUACCACAUGUGAUCCCGAGGAAUAGAUACUUGGGAUGAAAGGAGCAAUUCGCUUCGGGAGGGACCUGCGUCCCAUCAGCUAGUUGGUAGGGUAACGGCCUACCAAGGCGAUGACGGGUAGGGGACCUGAGAGGGUGGCCCCCCACAAUGGAACUGAAACACGGUCCAUACACCUACGGGUGGCAGCAGUAGGGAAUAUUGGUUAAUGUGCGAAAGCGCGAAUC